CGCUGGCGGCGUGCCUAACACAUGCAAGUCGAGCGGGACAUUGCGACGGAGACGAAGUACUCGUACGGAGUCAAAGAUGUAAUGUUCUAGCGGCGGACGGGUGAGUAACGCGUGAGCAACCUGUCCCUUACAGGGGGAUAACACAGCGAAAGUUGUACUAAUACCGCAUAAGACCACAGAGUGACAUCGCUCAGGGGUCAAAGGAGCAAUCCGGUAAGGGGUGGGCUCGCGUCCGAUUAGAUAGUUGGUGAGGUAACGGCCCACCAAGUCGACGAUCGGUAGCCGACCUGAGAGGGUGAUCGGCCACAUUGGGACUGAGACACGGCCCAAACUCCUACGGGAGGCUGCAGUGGGGAAUAUUGGGCAAUGGGGGGAAACCCUGACCCAGCAACGCCGCGUGAGGGAAGAAGGUUUUCGGAUCGUAAACCUCUGUCCCAGGUGAAGAGGAAGAGACGGUAGCCUGGGAGGAAGCCCCGGCUAACUACGUGCCAGCCGCGGC
RNAcentral lists this ribosomal RNA (499 nucleotides) under uncultured bacterium. RNAcentral's name for it is "bacterial SSU rRNA". It matches the Rfam family "Bacterial small subunit ribosomal RNA", at positions 34 to 518 of the family's 1533-position model. The record is from RNAcentral.